UUUCAGUUUGAACUUCGAACGAACGGGACGAACGGUUAGUAGCUCUGGCCUGUCCCUCACUGUCGCACGUUUCCAGUUCUCUGUCCUUCGUCUUUCUCCAAAGACGUACCUCCAUCUGCUGUGUGUUUCUCAUUACUGGCGGUGACGUGCUUUCUGGGAGGUUCCUGCGGCAUGCAGCACAGGGAGCAGGUGUGUGCAGUGUGUGAAAUCUGAAGACAGAAAGCAGACGUAUACCACAGCGGGGUCGUUCCACUCAGCAGACACUUGUGUGCCCGUCUCCUGCAGCCCCUCAGUAAUUGCAGGACACCCCCAGAGAUGAACCGAGAGGGUUGAGUCAUUAACAAGCCAGACAGUAAGUGGAGGCUGCAAGCUCCCCUCCAGCUUGCAGCUCGUUCCUACAAAGGUAGUCGGAGUGGACACUUGAAUUGGCCCCAGAUUGAUGAAUAAAAUUAGACUGGGUUCAAAAUGA
Molecule: long non-coding RNA, 469 nt
Organism: Anguilla rostrata (American eel)
Lineage: Eukaryota; Metazoa; Chordata; Actinopteri; Anguilliformes; Anguillidae
Exons: 3
Source: RefSeq, a predicted model, not a curated record